UACGAAGGGGGCUAGCGUUGUUCGGAAUUACUGGGCGUAAAGCGCACGUAGGCGGAUCGAUCAGUCAGGGGUGAAAUCCCGAGGCUCAACCUCGGAACUGCCUUUGAUACUGGCAAUCUCGAGUCCGGAAGAGGUGAGUGGAAUUCCUAGUGUAGAGGUGAAAUUCGUAGAUAUUAGGAAGAACACCCAGUGGCGAAGGCG
Molecule: ribosomal RNA, 201 nt
Filed under: uncultured bacterium
Lineage: Bacteria
Description: partial 16S ribosomal RNA
Rfam family: Bacterial small subunit ribosomal RNA
Source: RNAcentral